GAUGAAGAACGCAGCGAAAUGCGAUAAGUAGUGUGAAUUGCAGAAUUCAGUGAAUCAUCGAAUCUUUGAACGCACAUUGCGCCCUUUGGUAUUCCUUAGGGCAUGCCUGUUCGAGCGUCAUUUAAACCUUCAAGCUAAGCUUGGUGUUGGGUGACUGUCCGCUUCACUGCGGACUCGCCUCAAAAUUAUUGGCGGCCGGUACAUUGGCUUCGAGCGCAGCAGAAACGUGAACUCGGGCCCGUCGUAUUGGCUCCCAGAAGCUAUCUUCACAAUUUUGACCUCGGAUCAGGUAGGGAUACCCGCUGAACUUAAGCAUAUCAAUAAGCGGAGGA
This 332-nucleotide unclassified non-coding RNA is filed under the name soil metagenome. RNAcentral describes it as "partial contains 5.8S ribosomal RNA, internal transcribed spacer 2, and large subunit ribosomal RNA". The stretch from base 1 to 120 matches the Rfam family "5.8S ribosomal RNA", at positions 35 to 154 of the family's 154-position model. The record is from RNAcentral.